ACUCCUACGGGAGGCAGCAGUGGGGAAUAUUGCACAAUGGGCGCAAGCCUGAUGCAGCAACGCCGCGUGAGGGAUGACGGCCUUCGGGUUGUAAACCUCUUUUAGUAGGGAAGAAGCGAAAGUGACGGUACCUGCAGAAAAAGCACCGGCUAACUACGUGCCAGCAGCCGCGGUAAU
RNAcentral lists this ribosomal RNA (177 nucleotides) under uncultured bacterium. RNAcentral's name for it is "partial 16S ribosomal RNA". It matches the Rfam family "Bacterial small subunit ribosomal RNA", at positions 335 to 524 of the family's 1533-position model. RNAcentral also lists the same sequence under 1 other name. The record is from RNAcentral.